UUGAGUUGACAUUUUAUGGAUAGUAACUUAACUAAAUUUCUUUUGAACUCUAAGCAAUGAUUCUUCGAUUAUUGAGUAGAAUCCUAAACUGACAUCACUUUUUAGAGUAGGCUAUGGUUAAGUCUAUCACUUUAAACCAAUAAUAGUUCCAUGCCUCUCAUAAUUUUAGUAAUUUUAUCAUCGGAUAAAGGUUUUGUAAGGGGUCAGCUAGUA
Molecule: long non-coding RNA, 213 nt
Filed under: Elaeis guineensis (African oil palm)
Lineage: Eukaryota; Viridiplantae; Streptophyta; Magnoliopsida; Arecales; Arecaceae
Description: long non-coding RNA (EGUI_LNC012862)
Source: RNAcentral